GGAUCCGAGUAGUUUCCUCAGAAAACUGUCCCAUCUAAUUCCUUCAGAAAUUUUGGUUCUCUUCCGAACCCCCAAACCCAGGCCGCGCCACAACACUCUGAAUCUACUUUCCUUCAAUUCGACCCUUUGUAGUAGUUUUAGUUGCGCUUACUCAGUCCAUGAGAGCCGAAGCUUGUCUCUCUCAGGCUCUGGACCCUCGCAUACAGAUCUCCGUUUUCAUACAUGGAUUUGGAGAAGGGAGUUGAAGCAGUAAACAACUCCCUUGUAGUGAACACAGGCUCAUUAGAAGGAGGUGCAGUUCUAGAACCAUAUGUGGGUAUGGAAUUCGAUUCCGAAGAUGAUGCAAGGAAAUUCUAUGUUGAAUAUGCUAGACGGGUGGGAUUUAUUGUGCGAAUAAUGCAACGUCGCCGCUCCGGCAUUGAUGGCAGAACUCUUGCCCGUCGACUUGGGUGUAACAAACAAGGUUUCUCUCCUAAUCACAGAGGCACAAUUGGACAGGAGAAAAAGCCAAGACCAAGUGCACGGGAAGGAUGCAAGGCUACUAUUUUGGUGAAGAUGGAAAAGACUGGGAAAUGGGUUGUUACAAGAUUCGAAAAGGAUCAUAAUCAUCCCCUGGUUGUUACUGCCAAUGGAUUCAGCACAGCGGGUGAUAAGGAUAAGAAAAUUGAAGAGCUUACGGUGGAGUUGGAGCGACAGGAGCAGUUGUGUGCUGCAUACCGAGAAAAAUUACUUUGUUUUAUGAAUAAUGUUGAAGAGCAAACAGAAGAACUAUCCUCCAAAAUCCAAGUUAUAGUUGACAAUGUACUGUAUCUUAAAUAACAUUAUUUCACAAGAACUACAAGAUGAAGCCUGCUCCUGAAGCAUUCCUGUACAUUGACUUGACACGAGGCUUUUUCGAAUUUUAAAGACUGUUUAUUGGGCAGACGAACAAAUCAAGACUAUUCGAUGAAGCACAUCAGACAUUUGAAUUAAGCACUUGUAGAGUUUAUCCAGCCAAGCAUACAUUCACGAAGAGAUACAGCAUACAUACUCACUCCUUCCAGGUUAUUCACUUUGUGAAAGCUUUUGGACUUCGGUCUCAAGUUCUCUUACGUCAUUGACUACAACCUCUACUUUUCUUGACAAAAGUUCUGUUUGCUCCUCGACAUUUUCCAAAAAUGAAAGUAGCAGCUCCCUAUAUAGUUCACAUAGUCGAUCUUGAUGAUGCAGCUCCAUGACCAAUUCUGUGAUUGAGGUCAAUGUAUCCAAGAUUGGCCUUCCCAUCAGCCUCUCUACACAUCAACUCAGGUGCUGCCUUAGGCUUGAUUCCAGAAGUAUGUGUUAAAUCAAUUGUAAAAUCUUGGACACCAGACAUAUUUUGAUCCAAUUGCAUCAUAUGUGUUAAAUCAAUUGUAAAAUCUUGGACACCAGACAUAUUUUGAUCCAAUUGCAUCAUAUUUUCUGGAGGGCGAAGAAUAUGAUUAUGUUCAAGGACAAAA
RNA transcript from Carya illinoinensis, 1478 nucleotides. It is a transcript of the gene named protein FAR1-RELATED SEQUENCE 7-like, with no coding region annotated. The record is from RefSeq and is a predicted model, not a curated record. NCBI's taxonomy places the organism in Eukaryota, Viridiplantae, Streptophyta, Magnoliopsida, Fagales, Juglandaceae. The transcript is spliced from 5 exons.